RNAcentral lists this ribosomal RNA (253 nucleotides) under uncultured bacterium. Its description in RNAcentral is "partial 16S ribosomal RNA". It matches the Rfam family "Bacterial small subunit ribosomal RNA", at positions 524 to 776 of the family's 1533-position model. The record is from RNAcentral.
UACGGAGGAUCCGAGCGUUAUCCGGAUUUAUUGGGUUUAAAGGGUGCGCAGGCGGACUGGUAAGUCAGCUGUGAAAGUUUACGGCUCAACCGUGAAAUUGCAGUUGAGACUGUUGAUCUUGAGUAUACAUGAGAUGGGCGGAAUUUGUGGUGUAGCGGUGAAAUGCUUAGAUAUCUCAAGGAACUCCGAUGGCGAAGGCAGCUCACUGGGGUAUAACUGACGCUGAUGCACGAAGGUGUGGGGAUCAAACAGG